UGGAGUUCAUAAUGCUUUCUCUAUCUUUCUCACAGAUUUGUUUUGAGUAUCAAAUGAAGGACUGGAUAUAAAAGUGCACUGAAAUUGUUAAGUGCUAUAUUGUUAGGAGCUAAGAUACUGCUGCUGCUGAUUAUUCAAAGGACUAUGGAGCUCCAGAAAGGGCAGAGAACUCUAGCUAAGACAACCAGAAGCCUCUCAAUGGCUCUGAGGCUUGGAUCUUCUCAGAAGGAAGGAGGAGAGUAGAAGUUUAGCUUUUCCAUUUGAUAACUUCCUGGAACAAAGCUGGAUCCCCCUGAUGAAGAAACUGAGGCACAGAAAAAUUAGAUGACUUGCUCGGAGUCACGCAAUGUGGAUUUGACUGGAUUCAGCUGGAUUGAACUCAAGUCUUGCUGACAUCAAGUCCGAUGCUCUAACCACUGUGCAACCCAGCUGCCUUUCUAAGUUUUGCCUUUGCUGUAAGAAUAUAGGAUGAAAAAAAGAAAAAUGAAUACAGCCCAGGACUGGAAAUAAAAAAAAGCAUGGGUUUUAUUUGAGCAAGUAAUUUAACAGCUCUCUUUCUCAGUUUCUUCUAGCUGUAAAAUGAGAUUAAUAGGACCUUCCCUACCUCAGUCACAUGAGGCUCCAACAAGAUAAUAGAAACGAAUAUGUUUUGAAAAUUUCAUAGCAUUGUACACAUUCUAUUAGGUUUUGUACCUCCUUUUCCAUUUGGCCCAUUUUACUUUUUAAGGACUUGUUUUCUACAG
Molecule: long non-coding RNA, 743 nt
Organism: Phascolarctos cinereus (koala)
Lineage: Eukaryota; Metazoa; Chordata; Mammalia; Diprotodontia; Phascolarctidae
Source: RefSeq, a predicted model, not a curated record